UACGGGGGGGGUAAGCGUUGUUCGGAAUUACUGGGCGUAAAGGGCUCGUAGGCGGAUCGAUCAGUCAGGGGUGAAAUCCCAGGGCUCAACCCUGGAACUGCCUUUGAUACUGUCGAUCUGGAGUAUGGAAGAGGUGAGUGGAAUUCCGAGUGUAGAGGUGAAAUUCGUAGAUAUUCGGAGGAACACCAGUGGCGAAGGCGGCUCACUGGUCCAUUACUGACGCUGAGGUGCGAAAGCGUGGGGAGCAAACAGG
Molecule: ribosomal RNA, 253 nt
Filed under: uncultured bacterium
Lineage: Bacteria
Description: partial 16S ribosomal RNA
Rfam family: Bacterial small subunit ribosomal RNA
Source: RNAcentral